RNAcentral lists this ribosomal RNA (273 nucleotides) under uncultured bacterium. RNAcentral describes it as "partial 16S ribosomal RNA". It matches the Rfam family "Bacterial small subunit ribosomal RNA", at positions 524 to 796 of the family's 1533-position model. The record is from RNAcentral.
UACGUAGGGGGCAAGCGUUGUUCGGAUUUACUGGGCGUAAAGGGCGCGUAGGCGGCGUGACAAGUCACUUGUGAAAUCUCCGGGCUUAACUCGGAACUGCCAAGUGAUACUGUCGUGCUAGAGUGCAGAAAGGGCAAUCGGAAUUCUUGGUGUAGCGGUGAAAUGCGUAGAUAUCAAGAGGAACACCUGAGGCGAAGGCGGGUUGCUAGGCUGACACUGACGCUGAGGCGCGAAAGCUAGGGUAGCAAACGGGAUUAGAAACCCCCGUAGUCC